RNA transcript from Chroicocephalus ridibundus (black-headed gull), 7419 nucleotides. It is a transcript of the gene named Rho guanine nucleotide exchange factor 12, with no coding region annotated. The transcript is spliced from 42 exons. The record is from RefSeq and is a predicted model, not a curated record. Lineage: Eukaryota; Metazoa; Chordata; Aves; Charadriiformes; Laridae.
CUCGGCGGCUGAGGCGACCCAGCCCGCCCGGGGCCUCGCCGGCAGGCCGGGCCGCCGCGCCCCGCUCUAGCUCGGGCCGAAGCGGGACAGGCGGAGCGGCAGGGCAUGGACCUGCGGGCCUAAAGGCGGCAGCGGCGGGGCGGCCGCCCUUCCCGACCCCCCUGCGGGCGAGCCGGCGGGCGGGGGGUCGGGGCGGGCCGGCAGCGGGACAUGGGCCUCUGCGCGGCGGCCCUGAGGACAGCGACAGCCGGCGGGGCCCGCCGCCCGCCCCCCGCGGGGGAGAGGCCGUGAAGAGCGGUGGGGAGGGGGCACCCCGCGGCCGGCGGGCACCCCCUCCUACUGAGAGCCGGCCGCGGAGGGGGGCGAGCGGCCCCAGGGAGCCCCGCCAGCAGCCGGCCCCGGUUUUGCCUGCUGGCCUGCCGCCUGCGCGGACAGCCGGGCUUCCCCUCCGCCCCGAAACUCCGGACCGGUGAGGAUUGGCUGCUUCGGAAGACUUUUUGGCAAGCGUUACUUUUCUCCUCUUCCUUGGGGGAACGGUUUGUUUUGGUUUUUUGUUUUUGGUUGUUUUUUUCUUGAACAUCCCCCACACCCUACUUCCGUGGCCUGGAUAUUCAGGGUGACUGCAAGAAGAGUUUUGGAAAUCUUUUUUCCUGCCCUUGAACUGAAUUUGUCCUCUGUGCAUGCCUCUUCUGGAGCAAGGCUGGAUCCUGAACCUCAGUGCAUGUGGGGGGCAAAGCCUCAUUAAUAUUCCUGCAGUAAUAGUAAAAUGUAAAUUGGAUAAUACGACUUCUUGCCAAAGGCUCCAAUGAGUGGCACACAGUCCACAAUCACGGACAGGUUUCCUCUCAAAAAACCUACAAGACACGGCAGCAUUCUGAGCAGAGAGUCUCCAGCUGACAAGAAACAGAAGGUUGAACGCUGCAGUAGUACGCACGACUUUGAUCCGACAGAUAGCUCCUCCAAGAAGACAAAGUCUAGUUCGGAGGAGAGUAGAUCCGAGACGUAUGGUCUUGUUCAACGGUGUGUUGUUAUCCAACGGGAUGAGAACGGAUUUGGGCUGACAGUCAGUGGAGACAAUCCAGUCUUCGUGCAGUCUGUCAAAGAAGAUGGAGCAGCCAUGCGGGCUGGAGUGCAAACAGGUGAUAGAAUUAUCAAGGUGAAUGGCACUCUUGUAACACAUUCAAACCAUUUGGAGGUGGUAAAGCUGAUCAAGUCGGGUUCCUAUGUAGCUCUCACUGUGCAGGGGCGCCCACCAGGGUCGCCCCAGAUUCCAUUAGCUGAUUCUGAAGUAGAUCUGGCAGCAUUUGGGCAUAUGUCUCCCGUCAUGACAUCUCCUCAUUCACCUGGCACAUCAGGAAAUGCAGAAAGGAUAACUAGCCCAGUGCUUGUCGGGGAGGAGAAUAAUAUUGUCCACAACCAGAAGGUGGAGAUUCUGAGAAAGAUGCUACAGAAGGAGCAGGAGCGGCUGCAGUCUCUGCAAGAAGAGUAUAGCCGAUCACCCACCACGCGACUGCUCAAAGAGAUACAGGAAACGAAGAAACACAUUCCUCAGCUGCAAGAGCAGUUGUCCAAAGCCACAGGCUGUGCUCAGGAUGGAGUCUUGUCCUCCAGGUCUGCAACGGAAUCGCUGCAGAUCAAUGAAGUGGAGGCAGAGAGUGGGGAUGGUGUGAGCAAACUGGAUUACAGUGGUGACAGCCCCUCUCGACCAAGCAGUGACAUUGCUGAUAGUCCUCGUAGUGGCUUGAAGGAGCGGAUUUAUCCAGAUGAGAGCCCGGAAAAGACUGAGGUUCAGGAUACUGAUUCGCAAUCCAGUGUUGGAAGUCCUUUAUCCCGCGUGGGGCCUCAGAUCAUUGGAGCAGAGGAUGAUGACUUUGACACUGAACAGGAGCAGAUUAAUGGACAGUGCAGCUGUUUCCAAAACAUUGAGCUCCUGAAAUCUCGCCCAGCACACCUGGCUGUUCUUCUGCAUCAUGUGGUGUCCCAGUUUGACCCUGCAGCAUUGUUGUGCUACCUUUACACAGACUUGUACAAGCAGACCAACUCCAAAGAGACGCGGCGUGUCUUCCUUGAGUUUUACCAGUUCUUCUUGGACCGAGCUGCAAAUCUAAAAGUUCCAGUUCCAGAUGAAAUCUCCUUAGAACUAGAAAGAAGGCGGCCAGAACUCCUUCCUGAAGAGCUUCAUCGCCAGUUCAUACAAACUAUGCAAGAUAAAGUCUGUCCAGAAGUUCAAAGAAAUCUGGAAGACUUCAGGCAGAAACGAAGUAUGGGAUUGACCCUUGCAGAAGGAGAGCUAACCAAGCUGGAUGCAGAAAGAGUUCGUGACCGGAAUGCAGUGGAGAAGGAAAGAGCAUGUGCAGAACAGAUUAUUACUAAAAUUGAGGAAGUCUUGAUGACAUCUCAGCCUUUGGAAGAAGACAAGAGUUCCACAAUGCAGUAUGUGAUUCUUACUUACAUGAAACACCUGGGAGUCAAAGUUAAAGAACCUCGGAACCUGGAGCAGAAGCGUGGUCGCAUUGGUUUCUUGCCGAAGAUCAAGGUACAAAGUAUCAAGAAAGAGAAAGAAGGAGAAGAAAAAGGAAAGAGAAGAGGCUUUCCUAAUAUUCUUGGCCCACCAAGGAGACCGAGUCGACAUGAUAGCAGUGCAAUUGGCAGAGCCAUGGAAAUGCAGAAGCCCCGACAUCCAAAGCACUUACCUACAGCAUCUUCUGUUAGCCCAGAGCCACCAGAUUCUAGCAAGAUGCGCCAGAGUGGGUCCUCCAGUGAUGGAACAGAUGCGCCAUACCCUCCUGCCAACCCAAUGUCUCCUUUGGCAAUGGGUCCCUUUUCCUCUCCAGAAGGAAGCAAAGACAGUGAAACAGGUUUGAAGCAGACUGGAGAAGCUCCACCUGCUAAUGACUGUAUGGAUGGCACACCCCGCACACCUAAUAAUACCUUUGAAUUCCCAUCUCCUUUGGAAAACUUGCAGGAGGAAGAAGGAGAAUCAGAGAGGGUGGUUGACAUGGGAACACCAAAGCCUUUUCGCAAAAUGGACAGUGUUGGUUUCGCAGAUGUACAAAGUGAGGACGAGCUAUAUGAUUUUGACAUGGACAUGGACCCCCCCAACUGGCAACAACUUGUGAGCCGGGAAGUGUUGAUGGGGCUGAAACCCUAUGAAAUCAAGCGCCAAGAAGUGAUUAAUGAAUUGUUUUACACUGAGAGAGCUCAUGUCCGCACGCUGAAGGUUCUGCAUAAUGUCUUCUACCAGCGUGUCACCCGGGAAGGGAUCCUGAACUCCAGUGACAAACGGAAAAUCUUUUCCAAUCUGGAGGAUAUCCUUGGGCUUCAUGUUGCAUUGAAUGAUCAGAUGAAAGCAGUCCGAAAAAGGAACGAGACUUCUGUUAUUGGCCAAAUUGGGGAAGACUUGCUUUCCUGGUUUAGCGGACCAGCAGAGGAGAAGCUGAAACAUGCAACUGCCACUUUCUGCAGUAACCAGCCCUUUGCUCUAGAGGUCAUCAAGUCCCGCCAGAAGAAGGACUCUCGCUUCCAGACCUUUGUGCAGGAUGCUGAGAGUAAUCCACUGUGUCGCCGGUUGCAGCUGAAGGAUAUCAUUCCCACAGAGAUGCAGAGGUUGACUAAGUACCCCCUUCUGCUGGAUAACAUUGCUAAGUACACAGAACUGCCUGAAGAGAAAGAGAAAGUGAAGAAAGCAGCAGAUCAUUGUCGUCAGAUCCUUAACCACGUGAACCAGGCAGUCAAAGAGUCUGAGAACAAGCAGCAUUUGGAAGACUAUCAGCGUCGUCUUGACCUGUCCUACUUGAAGCAGUCUGAGGAUCCCAUGAUGGAUGAGUUCAGGAACUUGGAUCUAACAAAGAGAAAAAUGCUUCAUGAAGGACCUCUAACUUGGAAGGUUAAUCGUGACAAAACUAUCGACCUCUACACUCUGCUUCUAGAGGACAUUCUGGUGCUGUUGCAGAAACAAGAUGAUAAACUGGUAUUGAAGUGUCACAGUAAAAUCUUGGCAUCGACAGCUGAUAGUAAACACACCUUCAGUCCUAUCAUCAAAUUGAACACCGUUCUGGUUCGUCAGGUGGCAACAGAUAACAAAGCUUUCUUCGUCAUCUCCAUGUCAGAAAAUGGCGCUCAUAUUUAUGAGCUGGUGGCACAGACUGUUUCAGAAAAGAAUGUAUGGCAGGACCUUAUAGCUCAGAUGGCAGGAACUGUAAAAAUGGGGAGUACCAGAAGAGUGAUUCCAUUACCACAGUCAGGACCUGGCGAAGAAGAGCGUGAAGAAGAGGAGCAGCAGAAGCUCAAAGAGCAGCAUGACAUUCCUGCCAGUAGUCUACAAAGUCCAGAUAAGGAUUUGGGCCUCGAGUCUCCUUUAAUACUGAGUGCUCAGUCUUCUUCACCCAUCAUGUCUGAAAAGUCCAAGGUAGAAAGUCUUCUUGUGUCAGAAAGACAGUUUGAUAAAGUGCAGCAGGCAGACCUGACACUGAAAGAUUCUUCUGCAUGCUAUGAACACACAACCACCAGUUUGCCUUCCGUAUCAGAAGGACAGUGGGCAUUGGAUGCAUUAAGGAACUUGGGCUUGCUGAAACAAUUGUUGGUACAGCAACUUGGCUUUUCCGAGAAGGGGACCUUUGAAGGCCGGCAGCGCUUUCCUAGGUUUAGAACCGUUUCUCAAGAAGCCCAAACAGAGAGUGGAAGUGAGCCUGGACUACAGCACUCUGACAAUAACAAACUUCACCAGCCUGGAACAGACAGAACACUUCCGAGAACCGGAACUAAUGAGUCCACAGCUAGUUAUGGCCUCCGGACUUCAUCUGAAUCGCCAGCUUCAGGGGAUGCCAUGCAGCUGGUUAUGAGAGACCCCAGAUCAAGUAGUAACUUAGCAAUAGACCGCAUGAGUAUGAAUCUGGAGAUUUCAACUGCAGAGCUGGAAGGGGUGGGUGCUGAUGAUAGUGGGGAGCAUUUUUUUGACGCUCGAGAAGCUCACAGUGAUGAAAAUCCAUCUGAAAGUGAACUAAUGGAAAGGAAGGAGGAAGAGGAUGUACAAAUACGGAUCUCAGGAAAUUAUUUGAUCCUUGAUGGAUAUGGAACAGUGCAGGAGAGCUCCACAGAUGAGGAGGUAUCGUCUCUAGUUCUCCAGUGCACUGCAGGUGGCCGCACCUCUUUGGACUCUGCACAGCAGCAGCCACUUUCCCCACGGGACACCCAGUCGGAUGGAGGAAGCUCCCCGUUUACUGAGGAGAUGAUGGGCUCACGCUGGGCGGGAGUGGAAGAGUCCUGCUCAUUUGUAGCAAGCCCUCACUUCUCUAUAGAGUCACGUGUGCAGAUGAUGCAAUAUAUUCAGAAGAUAGAGGAUGACCUUGAAAAGUUAAAGGAGGUUGAGGAAGACUACACCAUUCUCCGACGCCAAGGGCUGGCUGGAUCAGCCUCCAUGGGAGAGCACUCAGACAAGAGCUAGUCAUGUUUCCAGGAGCGGCCGAAGAUUGGAUGAAGAGUAUCAGGACACAGCACCCACUGUCUUCCUUGUGGACUCUGAGACAAGAGAGUUUGGACCAUCCGAACGUGAACCAUACUCUAGCAAAGUGGGCACGGGGUGCUUUUCCUUUGGGGCAUCUGCACUAUCUUGUCAGUGAGGGAGUCUAUUCUAUUCUGCUCCUCUCCUUGCUACCAGAAAUUCAUUUUUCAGAACGGAAGAACCAAACCAAAUGUACAGAGCUUUGGGUGUAGGAUAUAAAAAUGUAUUUAGACAUUUAAAAAAAAAAAUCAAUGUAUUUAUUUGACUUCAUUCCGUGUAUCAAAAGCACAUUUUAAUUUUUUAAUCUGCCUUUUUUGUUCUAUUUUAAUUGGGUAGUGACAGUUCUAGCCCUCUGCAUAUAGUACACCCUGCCUGCCACUGCUCCUGAACCAAAGGUCAGGUCAGAGGGGAGAGGGUGCGCCUAUGUGCAAGUGUACCUUUUCUUCACUGGACUGGACUCUGCACUCCCUGCUGGCAAUCAAACUGCCAUGCGAAGAGCUACUUAUGAAGGUGUUAGGAAGACUUGUGGCUGGAACUAUCUGUAUUCAACAGUUGCAUGGGAACUGCUCAUGACACCACAUGUCUAACAAGAACUUUCCAUGCACUAAAUAGCCAGGCACUUCAGCACAUCUACUGUAUGGCAGACCUCAGGCCACGUCUUGCUGCGUGGAAGGAGCUGGAACUCAAAUGCACUAUUCAGGAUUCUCACUUUUUUUCUCCCUGUUUAAGCCAUAAGAUCACCCCUUUUUAAAAUUCCAGUUUCCAGUGUAAGGAAGCAUUUUAAUUUUCCCCUGGUUGGUGAUUGAUUGUACAUUCCCUUAUUCAAACUGGAUAGCAGAGCAGGACAACGUUCUCUGGUUUGUUUGCCCCACCAGCCCCUCCUCCCCAAUGUUUUGUUGGGGCUUGUUUAUUGUUUGUUUUUUUUUUUUUUUCCCCCUCAAAUGCAAGAUGAGCAAGGGCUUCUUAUCUUGGGAGCAAAGAUGUAGUGUAGCAAGCAUUCUUUCAUAUCCUCCUGAGAAGUGAUUUCUCUUCUGCUGUUACGGGACAUAGUUCACAGACAAGCGAAAAAGUCAGAUGGGUACUUUCUGGAAAGGGGAAUUUCCUCCUUCUGUAGAAGGGUAGAAGAGCAAGUGCUAAGCUGGUCUGUGAUCACUCUGGUUUCUUGAACAUGCCUUGACUGUAAGGAGGGGAGAUUUCUUUAACAUCCUAUAGGUGGGAUCAGAAAGACGGAUGAGGAAUGUAAACCUCAAGAGCUAAGGCAUCUAGAUGGUUUUGGUCAGCUUUCAGACAGCACUAUGCCUAUUUCCAGUGUUUUCAUAAAACUUAGAUGUUCUGAUUUAUAGAUACUGUCCCUGUUACUAGAAGGGGGGUCUGAUGCUCCAGCAGCUGGCCCUUGAUUAUAAUCUCAGUGCUUGAUGGUAUCUGGUAUUGUUUUCUCCCUCUGUUCCCCAAAGAAAUCCCUUCAUUCCUUCCCCGUCCCCCAAAGGUGCCAACUGACAAGCAGAUGUACUGCAAAAGGGAUACUGCAGCCAAAACACUGCUGUUUUAUUUUGAAUUAAGUCUUGUGGAGCUCUCUUCAUACUAGAAUAUUUUUAUUUUCUUUGUACAACAUACAAUCAUGUACUCUUAACAGAGAUUUACUUUAAAGAGAAGAAAAAAAAUCUGGAAGUAUUCUUUAAAAAAAUACACAAAAAUCUUUAUUAAUAAUCCUGUAUUUUUACUGAUCAUGUUUGAAUGUCUAAAAAGACUUUAUUGUUCUAAUUAUCCAGAUGUAUGUUUGUAAAAUAGCUCUUUUAUGACUUAGCUGAUAAGGUUGUAUGUUUCUGGAAUUAAAUAUUGGUCACUUAAAAAAAAAAAUCUGUUUUCAGGAUUUGGGAAAUAGAAAAUUUAAGCGUUUCAAAUAUCAUUAAAUAAGCUUA